RNAcentral lists this unclassified non-coding RNA (246 nucleotides) under Portunus trituberculatus (swimming crab). RNAcentral's name for it is "uncharacterized LOC123502290, transcript variant X2". Lineage: Eukaryota; Metazoa; Arthropoda; Malacostraca; Decapoda; Portunidae. The record is from RNAcentral.
AGCAAUCCUGCCAGAAACAUGGCCCACCUGCCCCACCACUGAUCUGGUGACACAUGCAGAGAUCAAUUUUGCAACUUGCAUUUCAACAUUCCUGCUUGAAGUGCGGAUCUCCUGCCCUUCAGCACACAUGGCCAGUCACAUGCCAAGACGAUGGAAUGCUGUCAGCGAGCAGCAUGGAAGACGCAGAGAGAGUGGUGGUCAGGUGGUGGUGGAGACAGGGAGAGUAUGUGGCCUGGAGAUUAAAAA